AUGGCCCCUUUCCCAGACAGCUCUUUAAGCAAGGUUUUCCUGUCUCUCUCUUUAAUGACUCUCAGCCAUCCUUUCCCCGCUCGCUGGAGCCGGGGCAGAUGCGGGGGGGCGAGCACCCCCUGCUCCCACUCCCCCCCGCUCCCUUCCCUCUACCCACAGCAUAUUUGGGGUCCCACAGCAAGUCUUGUCCCACUAGGAGGAAAUUACCAGCUUCUGGGCCUGACCCUAUUUGCUAUCAUUUCCCUUUCCAUUUACUCCUAUAGAGAACCCCCCCCAGGAGCAGGGGCGAUGUCUUUUUGUGGCUCUUCCCCCCCUUACUCCAGGGGCAGAAGCACCCUGAAGGCUGUGUUCUGCUCUCAGAGUAAGUGUGCUCGCUGGGGGAGGAGGAAAAUGCCCCAAAUGGGCAUGGGGUUUUGUCCUGGGCUGGCCCGGCCCCAUUGCAGCCCCAGGGCUGUGCUCCACCCGUGGUGGCAAUGGGGCAGGAGGGGGAUGCAGCUGUGCCCCAGGCCAAUGCGAGGGCCCUUACUGGGAACCAAACCCAGUCCGAAGCUUUAUGGGAGAAGCCUGACAGGAAAUCCCAUCCCCGUGUGUCCUGAUGGGACGCAGUGGUGGCUUUUGGCAGGCUCUGCCGACCUGCUUGCUGGGAAGGAGCCGCUCGCUGCCUUUUACUCCCCCUUUCCUCCCUCCCUUCCACCCUGCAGCCUCCCAGGGCUCCCCCCAGCCCCACACUGCUCUGUCCCGAUGUAUGGGGGGAGAAACCCGAUGUCACCAUGCUGCCCCAUGGACCUCUCCCUGGGGUGUCCUCCUCCUGCAGCCCCCACAGACCUCUCCCUGGGGUGUCCUCCUCCUGCAGCCCCCACGGACCUCUCCCCGGGGUGUCCUCCUCCUGCAGCCCCCAUCCCGCUGCCUUCCUCCCCAGCUCCUCUGCCUCACCUCGCCUUCCUCGGGUGCUUUCCGUCCGCCUCUCCAGCAGCUCAACGUCUGGACGUGUCCCUGUGCCUCCCUGCUCCAGCACGGGAGCCUGUCGUGCUGCGGCUGGCAGCCUCCACAGGCACUGCUUCUGCCUUUUCCCUCCUCCCUUUUUGCUCCACACCAGCCUUCCUGAGCCCCCAGAGCCUCCCGCUGCUUCAAUCUGCCCCGGGGUGA
This 1146-nucleotide long non-coding RNA is filed under the name Anser brachyrhynchus (Pink-footed goose). RNAcentral's name for it is "lncRNA (ENSABRG00000019650.1)". Lineage: Eukaryota; Metazoa; Chordata; Aves; Anseriformes; Anatidae. The record is from RNAcentral.